CCCUUAGAUGGCCUGGGCUGCACGCGGGCUACAAUGGUAUAUUCAGCGUGAGUUGUUUACCGAAAGGUAGAUCAAAUCUUCAAAUUAUACCGUACUUGGGAUUGGACAUUGCAAUUGUUGUCCAUGAACGAGGAAUUCCUAGUAAGUGCAUGUCAUUAGCGUGCGCUGAUUACGUCCCUGCCCUUUGUACGCACCGCCCGUCGCUCCUACCGAUUGGGUGCUGGGGUGAACAUUGUGGAGAUUUGAGCUUCGGCUUGGUCAAAGCAAUGUGAAUCUUGCCGCCUAGAGGAAGGAGAAGUCGUAACA
Molecule: ribosomal RNA, 306 nt
Filed under: uncultured eukaryote
Lineage: Eukaryota
Description: partial 18S ribosomal RNA
Rfam family: Eukaryotic small subunit ribosomal RNA
Source: RNAcentral